UGGGGAAUAUUGGACAAUGGGCGCAAGCCUGAUCCAGCAAUGCCGCGUGUGUGAAGAAGGUCUUAGGAUUGUAAAGCACUUUCGACGGGGACGAUGAUGACGGUACCCGUAGAAGAAGCCCCGGCUAACUUCGUGCCAGCAGCCGCGGUAAUACGAAGGGGGCUAGCGUUGCUCGGAAUGACUGGGCGUAAAGGGCGUGUAGGCGGCAUACCAAGUUAGAUGUGAAAUUCCCGGGCUCAACCUGGGGGCUGCAUUUGAUACUGGUAAGCUAGAGUUCGGAAGAGGGUAGUGGAAUUUCCAGUGUAGAGGUGAAAUUCGUAGAUAUUGGAAAGAACACCGGUGGCGAAGGCGGCUACCUGGUCCGAUACUGACGCUGAGGCGCGAAAGCGUGGGGAGCAAA
Molecule: ribosomal RNA, 400 nt
Filed under: uncultured bacterium
Lineage: Bacteria
Description: bacterial SSU rRNA
Rfam family: Bacterial small subunit ribosomal RNA
Source: RNAcentral